UCCGUUUUGUCAACGGCAGUCUCUCUAGAGUGCCCAACUUAAUGCUGGCAACUAAAGAUAAGGGUUGCGCUCGUUGCGGGACUUAACCCAACAUCUCACGACACGAGCUGACGACAGCCAUGCAGCAUCUGUGGUGCACCCUCGAAGGUCACACGUUUCCGUGCGCUUGCAGCACCAUGUCAAGUCCAGGUAAGGUUCUUCGCGUUGCAUCGAAUUAAAGAACAUGCUCCGCUGCUUGUGCGGGCCCCCGUCAAUUCUUUUGAGUUUCAACCUUGCGAUCGUACUCCCCAGGUGGAUCACUUAAUGCUUUAGCUCAGACACCAACAGUGUAUCGCUGAUGUCGAGUGAUCAUCGUUUAGGGCGUGGACUAC
This 371-nucleotide unclassified non-coding RNA is filed under the name uncultured bacterium. Its description in RNAcentral is "contains 16S-23S intergenic spacer region". The record is from RNAcentral.